Molecule: ribosomal RNA, 1080 nt
Filed under: uncultured bacterium
Lineage: Bacteria
Description: bacterial SSU rRNA
Rfam family: Bacterial small subunit ribosomal RNA
Source: RNAcentral
CUAGUAACGGCCGCCAGUGUGCUGGAAUUCGCCCUUCAGGCCUAACACAUGCAAGUCGAGGGGCAGCACAGGUAGCAAUACCGGGUGGCGACCGGCGCACGGGUGAGUAACGCGUAUGCAACUUACCUAUCAGAGGGGGAUAACCCGGCGAAAGUCGGACUAAUACCGCAUGAAGCAGGGGUCCCGCAUGGGGAUAUUUGCUAAAGAUUCAUCGCUGAUAGAUAGGCAUGCGUUCCAUUAGGCAGUUGGCGGGGUAACGGCCCACCAAACCGACGAUGGAUAGGGGUUCUGAGAGGAAGGUCCCCCACAUUGGUACUGAGACACGGACCAAACUCCUACGGGAGGCAGCAGUGAGGAAUAUUGGUCAAUGGGCGUAAGCCUGAACCAGCCAAGUCGCGUGAGGGAUGAAGGUUCUAUGGAUCGUAAACCUCUUUUAUAAGGGAAUAAAGUGGAGGACGUGUCCUUUUUUGUAUGUACCCUAUGAAUAAGCAUCGGCUAACUCCGUGCCAGCAGCCGCGGUAAUACGGAGGAUGCGAGCGUUAUCCGGAUUUAUUGGGUUUAAAGGGUGCGUAGGUGGUGAUUUAAGUCAGCGGUGAAAGUUUGUGGCUCAACCAUAAAAUUGCCGUUGAAACUGGGUUACUUGAGUGUGUUUGAGGUAGGCGGAAUGCGUGGUGUAGCGGUGAAAUGCAUAGAUAUCACGCAGAACUCCGAUUGCGAAGGCAGCUUACUAAACCAUAACUGACACUGAAGCACGAAAGCGUGGGGAUCAAACAGGAUUAGAUACCCUGGUAGUCCACGCAGUAAACGAUGAUUACUAGGAGUUUGCGAUACAAUGUAAGCUCUACAGCGAAAGCGUUAAGUAAUCCACCUGGGGAGUACGCCGGCAACGGUGAAACUCAAAGGAAUUGACGGGGGCCCGCACAAGCGGAGGAACAUGUGGUUUAAUUCGAUGAUACGCGAGGAACCUUACCCGGGUUUGAACGUAGUCUGACCGGAGUGGAAACACUCCUUCUAGCAAUAGCAGAUUACGAGGUGCUGCAUGGUUGUCGUCAGCUCGUGCCGUGAGGUGUCGGCUUAAGU